Bactrocera oleae (olive fruit fly) is the source of this 533-nucleotide non-coding RNA. The record is from RefSeq and is a predicted model, not a curated record. NCBI's taxonomy places the organism in Eukaryota, Metazoa, Arthropoda, Insecta, Diptera, Tephritidae.
UCAGACGCUGUAUUUCUAGAAAAUUAAUUUCGAUUUUAUAUUUGUUCUUAAAGGUAGUGCAAUAAGAAGCACUCACUCUCCUCUAGAUUGGGAUUAACCGCAUGCAGCGCACUGCCAUUGAAGAAGCAUGCCAAGGCUACGGCCAUGAAGUGGGUGGUAUUCCGUGCAACCACACCAACAAUAUCACGUUGCGUCAAAUUCAGCUUACGAAAAUUUUCAGCGACACGAAUGGCCUGCAGCAAAGCUUCUUCGUAGGUUAAGCUAGUCUGUUCAGUAUCGGAUAUCUGACAGGGUUAUAAGGAUUUAACAAAAUUUUUACACAGCUGCAGCUUAAACUUUUAAGCACUUACUUGACAAAUACUGUGAGGACAACGGCGCAUUUGCUCGAAGAGUAUGCGACCCACAGAUGCGUUGCGAUCGUAGAAGUCAUAGAACUUCGGACCCAGCCAUUCCUUAGAAUCGGCGUCGUAUGUUGCACCUAUGCUUGUAUCUAUUUCGAACAUUUCUAGUUCUAAGUUUAAACACACAAUCAC